This 465-nucleotide ribosomal RNA is filed under the name uncultured bacterium. Its description in RNAcentral is "partial 16S ribosomal RNA". It matches the Rfam family "Bacterial small subunit ribosomal RNA", at positions 28 to 507 of the family's 1533-position model. The record is from RNAcentral.
GACGAACGCUGGCGGCGUGCUUAACACAUGCAAGUCGAACGGAAAGGCCCUGCUUGCAGGGUACUCGAGUGGCGAACGGGUGAGUAACACGUGGGUGAUCUGCCCCGCACUUCGGGAUAAGCCUGGGAAACUGGGUCUAAUACCGGAUAGGAGCCAUUUUUAGUGUGAUGGUUGGAAAGUUUUUUCGGUGUAGGAUGAGCUCGCGGCCUAUCAGCUUGUUGGUGGGGUAAUGGCCUACCAAGGCGGCGACGGGUAGCCGGCCUGAGAGGGUGGACGGCCACAUUGGGACUGGGAUACGGCCCAGACUCCUACGGGAGGCAGCAGUGGGGAAUAUUGCACAAUGGGCGCAAGCCUGAUGCAGCGACGCCGCGUGGGGGAUGACGGCCUUCGGGUUGUAAACUCCUUUCGCUAGGGACGAAGCUUUUUGUGACGGUACCUAGAUAAGAAGCACCGGCUAACUACGUG